CCAGCAGCUGCGGUAAUUCCAGCUCCAAUAGCGUAUAUUUAAGUUGUUGCAGUUAAAAAGCUCGUAGUUGGAUUUCGGGUGGGGUUGUGCGGUCCGCCUCUGGUGUGCACUGCUCGGCUCCACCUUCCUGCCGGGGACGGGCUCCUGGGCUUCACUGUUCGGGACUCGGAGUCGGCGAGGUUACUUUGAGUAAAUUAGAGUGUUCAAAGCAGGCCUACGCUCUGAAUACAUUAGCAUGGAAUAACACGAUAGGACUCUGGCCUAUCUGUUGGUCUGUGGGACCGGAGUAAUGAUUAAGAGGGGUAGUCGGGGGCAUUCGUAUUCCGUUGUCAGAGGUGAAAUUCUUGGAUUUACGGAAGACGAACAUCUGCGAAAGCAUUUGCCAAGGAUACUUUCAUUGAUCAAGAACGAAAGU
This 415-nucleotide ribosomal RNA is filed under the name uncultured eukaryote. RNAcentral describes it as "SSU rRNA". It matches the Rfam family "Eukaryotic small subunit ribosomal RNA", at positions 567 to 990 of the family's 1831-position model. The record is from RNAcentral.